AACUCCCACCAUCGCCACCUCCUCUGACCUUCGGUGACCAAGUCACGGCCGUCGCCUUCGGCCCAGGGCUCCUGCCUCCUCUCUUUUCCCGAACAAGCUUCCUCUCUCAAACGUUGUGAUCGCCGCCGCCUAUUGAAUGGCGGCACCACCCAGAUCCCCAAAUCGCAGCCGCCGCUGCCCUCUCUCUCUCUCAAUCUUCUCCAUCGCUCAAAUCUCCCUCAAAUAAUAUCACAGAUUCGAUCAACACCACAUCUCCUCCUUCGCCUAUCCGGCGAAGGGCGUCCCCCAGGCUACGCCUGAAAAACCCCAGGCACCAACCACCGACGACCCUCCUCAGAACUUGAAUCACGCCGGCAAAACAGCAGGGAUGUCGUUCUCUGCUCGACGGAAGAGAUGAGACGGGAGAAAGAGAAUCAGACGAACCCAA
Molecule: long non-coding RNA, 427 nt
Filed under: Salvia miltiorrhiza (redroot sage)
Lineage: Eukaryota; Viridiplantae; Streptophyta; Magnoliopsida; Lamiales; Lamiaceae
Description: long non-coding RNA (SMIL_LNC004168)
Source: RNAcentral